Molecule: long non-coding RNA, 316 nt
Filed under: Elaeis guineensis (African oil palm)
Lineage: Eukaryota; Viridiplantae; Streptophyta; Magnoliopsida; Arecales; Arecaceae
Description: long non-coding RNA (EGUI_LNC023400)
Source: RNAcentral
UGACAUUCUGGGUUAUAUUACGCCACAGGAUAUCAUAAUUUUUUUCUAAAAGACGAGUAUUUUCAUCAUACAAAAAUUUUAAAUGAAAAAACUGACCUGCAGAUAUUAAAUGCGCAUUGAAAAAUGAUGACUACGUAGACCAAUCGGAUGAGAAGAUGCACUCAAUGUCAGAUUUUUUACACCGCCCGCAGUGUACAAAGAAUUUCUCAUAUAAAGAAAUAUUAUAGCGAUAUCCUUGAAUUUUGACCCAUUUGCGUUUGGACUCAAAAAAAAAAUUCAAAUAGAUCCCAAAACUUUAAAAAAGUUGCAAAAAGAU